RNAcentral lists this non-coding RNA (446 nucleotides) under Stegodyphus mimosarum. RNAcentral describes it as "eukaryotic small subunit ribosomal RNA". It matches the Rfam family "Eukaryotic small subunit ribosomal RNA", at positions 36 to 474 of the family's 1831-position model. The record is from Rfam by way of RNAcentral. Lineage: Eukaryota; Metazoa; Arthropoda; Arachnida; Araneae; Eresidae.
UUGGCGCAUUUAGCAUCUCCCAAAAUCAUAUUCACUCUUUGAAUGCGAAAGCUCAUAAACAUGCCCCAGAAUCAAACCUCUGAGUUACUCGCGUUCCAGCCGUAUCUUAUUAUUUAGAUAACUGCGGUAGUUCUAGAAUGAAUACAUACAACGGAGCUCUGACCUUCGCGUACGAGAGCUACUGUUAUACCAAAACCAGUCGGACCUAGUUUCCUUAGUAUGCGGCGAUUCUGAAUAAUUUUGGGCUGAUAGCACGGAAUCGUCCCCGGGAGUCGUAUCUUUCAUGUGUCUGCCUUAUAAACUGUCGAUAGCAGGUUAUAGUUGUCACGGGGUGAACGGAAUCAGAGUUCGAUUAAGGAAUGGGAGUCUGAGAAAUGGCUACCGCAUCGAAAGAAGGCAACUGGCGGGCAAAUUAUUCAUUCCUAGAAUAGAAAGAUAGUGGCGAA